AGAUUGUUGCAGACCAAGUACACCCUUUCAUGGCAAUUGUGUUCCCUGAUAACAGUGACCUAUUUCAGCAGGAUAAUGCAAAAAUAGUUCAGGAAUGGUUUGAGGAACAUGACAAAGAGCUCAAGGUGUUGCCUUGUCCUCCAAAUUCUCCAAAUCUCAUUCCGACUGAGAAUCUGUGGGAUGUGUUGGAACAACAAAUCCGAUCCAUGGAAGCCCCACCUCACAACUUGCAG
Pelobates cultripes (western spadefoot toad) is the source of this 233-nucleotide non-coding RNA. The record is from the annotation of a GenBank genome assembly. NCBI's taxonomy places the organism in Eukaryota, Metazoa, Chordata, Amphibia, Anura, Pelobatidae.